AAGUCAUAUGCAAAAAUAUUUAUAUUAUAAAUAAUAUAUAGAAAGGUUUUUAAGGUAAAGUAAAACUAAAGAAACACAUAAAAAAUAAAUUAAGAUUAAGAAAGCAAGCCUGGUAUGGUGACGCACGUCAGAGAUGCUAUUCUAAAGCCUUUGCAGCCUCCUUACGUGCAGGUAGAGGCGGUCCUGAAUGUGUGCAAGUGGUGCCACUGCACAGAACCCAAAUUUUUUUUUUUUUUACUUAUAUGUUAUAUAUGUUAAUAUUUUAAAUAUUAUCGAUAUAAAGCCCGCAUAGGACAUUUACAUGAGGACGGGUUUGCAGCGAAGUGCUACACUUUAACUUCUACUUAUGGCAUGGGUUCGAGGCCCACCUAUCUCAUCAAGCUCAUAUAUGUGUGUAUAUAUAUAUAUAUAUAUAUAUAUGAUUAUAUUAUAUACAAGUCUUCAUAUAGUUAACAAGCAUUGAAAGGAAAACCUAGUCUUUAUACUGAAUAUACUGAUAUUUAAGUUUCUCAAAUUGAA
Molecule: long non-coding RNA, 519 nt
Filed under: Prunus persica (peach)
Lineage: Eukaryota; Viridiplantae; Streptophyta; Magnoliopsida; Rosales; Rosaceae
Description: long non-coding RNA (PPER_LNC003863)
Source: RNAcentral